This 302-nucleotide ribosomal RNA is filed under the name uncultured bacterium. Its description in RNAcentral is "partial 16S ribosomal RNA". It matches the Rfam family "Bacterial small subunit ribosomal RNA", at positions 508 to 807 of the family's 1533-position model. The record is from RNAcentral.
GCAGCAGCCGCGGGAAUACGAAGGGUGCAAGCGUUAAUCGGAAUUACUGGGCGUAAAGCGUGCGUAGGCGGUUUGUUAAGUCUGUUGUGAAAUCCCCGGGCUCAACCUGGGAAUGGCAAUGGAUACUGGCAAGCUAGAGUGUGUCAGAGGAUGGUGGAAUUCCCGGUGUAGCGGUGAAAUGCGUAGAGAUCGGGAGGAACAUCAGUGGCGAAGGCGGCCAUCUGGGACAACACUGACGCUGAGGCACGAAAGCGUGGGGAGCAAACAGGAUUAGAUACCCCGGUAGUCCCUGUCUCUUAUAC